CGUAGGGGGCAAGCGUUGUCCGGAUUUAUUGGGCGUAAAGAGCGUGUAGGCGGCCAGAUAGGUCCGUUGUGAAAACUCGAGGCUCAACCUCGAGACGCCGAUGGAAACCAUCUGGCUAGAGUCCGGAAGAGGAGAGUGGAAUUCCCGGUGUAGCGGUGAAAUGCGCAGAUAUCGGGAAGAACACCCGUGGCUAAGGCGGCUCUCUAGUACGGUACUGACGCUGAGACGCGAAAGCGUGGGGAGCGAACAGGAUUAGAUACCCUGGUAGUCCACGCCGUAAACGAUGGGUGCUAGGUGUGGGGGGUGUCGACUCCCUCCGUGCCGAAGCUAACGCAUUAAGCACCCCGCCUGGGGAGUACGGCCGCAAGGCUA
This 372-nucleotide ribosomal RNA is filed under the name uncultured organism. RNAcentral describes it as "bacterial SSU rRNA". It matches the Rfam family "Bacterial small subunit ribosomal RNA", at positions 526 to 896 of the family's 1533-position model. The record is from RNAcentral.